AGAGAGUAAUUCCUGCUGGGCAGGACACUGCCUGCUAAGUAGUUGGUUCAUGCGUGAAUGAAGUUCGAUUCUUCUGCUCUCUGCCA
This 86-nucleotide transfer RNA is filed under the name Emticicia sp. BO119. Its description in RNAcentral is "tRNA-Ser". The record is from RNAcentral. Lineage: Bacteria; Pseudomonadati; Bacteroidota; Cytophagia; Cytophagales; Leadbetterellaceae.